GAACGCUGGCGGCGUGCCUAAUACAUGCAAGUCGAGCGAACAGAUAAGGAGCUUGCUCCUUUGACGUUAGCGGCGGACGGGUGAGUAACACGUGGAUAACCUACCUAUAAGACUGGGAUAACUUCGGGAAACCGGAGCUAAUACCGGAUAACAUAUUGAACCGCAUGGUUCAAUAGUGAAAGGCGGCUUUGCUGUCACUUAUAGAUGGAUCCGCGCCGUAUUAGCUAGUUGGUAAGGUAACGGCUUACCAAGGCAACGAUACGUAGCCGACCUGAGAGGGUGAUCGGCCACACUGGAACUGAGACACGGUCCAGACUCCUACGGGAGGCAGCAGUAGGGAAUCUUCCGCAAUGGGCGAAAGCCUGACGGAGCAACGCCGCGUGAGUGAUGAAGGUCUUCGGAUCGUAAAACUCUGUUAUCAGGGAAGAACAAAUGUGUAAGUAACUGUGCACAUCUUGACGGUACCUGAUCAGAAAGCCACGGCUAACUACGUGCCAGCAGCCGCGGUAAUACGUAGGUGGCAAGCGUUAUCCGGAAUUAUUGGGCGUAAAGCGCGCGUAGGCGGUUUUUUAAGUCUGAUGUGAAAGCCCACGGCUCAACCGUGGAGGGUCAUUGGAAACUGGAAAACUUGAGUGCAGAAGAGGAAAGUGGAAUUCCAUGUGUAGCGGUGAAAUGCGCAGAGAUAUGGAGGAACACCAGUGGCGAAGGCGACUUUCUGGUCUGUAACUGACGCUGAUGUGCGAAAGCGUGGGGAUCAAACAGGAUUAGAUACCCUGGUAGUCCACGCCGUAAA
RNAcentral lists this ribosomal RNA (793 nucleotides) under Staphylococcus sp. Its description in RNAcentral is "bacterial SSU rRNA". It matches the Rfam family "Bacterial small subunit ribosomal RNA", at positions 31 to 806 of the family's 1533-position model. Lineage: Bacteria; Bacillati; Bacillota; Bacilli; Caryophanales; Staphylococcaceae. The record is from RNAcentral.